UCCUACGGGAGGCAGCAGUGAGGAAUAUUGGUCAAUGGACGGAAGUCUGAACCAGCCAUGCCGCGUGCAGGAUGACGGCUCUAUGAGUUGUAAACUGCUUUUGUAUUAGGGUAAACACCCCUACGUGUAGGGGCUUGAAAGUAUAAUACGAAUAAGGAUCGGCUAACUCCGUGCCAGCAGCCGCGGUAAUACGGAGGAUGCGAGCGUUAUCCGGAUUUAUUGGGUUUAAAGGGUGCGUAGGCGGAAUGCCAAGUCAGCGGUAAAAUCGCGGGGCUCAACCUCGCUCCGCCGUUGAAACUGGCGUU
Molecule: ribosomal RNA, 305 nt
Filed under: uncultured bacterium
Lineage: Bacteria
Description: bacterial SSU rRNA
Rfam family: Bacterial small subunit ribosomal RNA
Source: RNAcentral